This 434-nucleotide ribosomal RNA is filed under the name uncultured Lachnospiraceae bacterium. RNAcentral's name for it is "partial 16S ribosomal RNA". It matches the Rfam family "Bacterial small subunit ribosomal RNA", at positions 341 to 792 of the family's 1533-position model. Lineage: Bacteria; Bacillati; Bacillota; Clostridia; Lachnospirales; Lachnospiraceae. The record is from RNAcentral.
ACGGAAGGCAGCAGUGGGGAAUAUUGCACAAUGGGGGAAACCCUGAUGCAGCGACGCCGCGUGAGUGAAGAAGUAUUUCGGUAUGUAAAGCUCUAUCAGCAGGAAAGAAAAUGACGGUACCUGACUAAGAAGCCCCGGCUAACUACGUGCCGGCAGCCGCGGUAAUACGUAGGGGGCAAGCGUUAUCCGGAUUUACUGGGUGUAAAGGGAGCGUAGACGGCUUGGCAAGUCUGAAGUGAAAGCCCGGGGCUCAACCCCGGAACUGCUUUGGAAACUGUUGAGCUGGAGUGCAGGAGAGGUAAGCGGAAUUCCUAGUGUAGCGGUGAAAUGCGUAGAUAUUAGGAGGAACACCAGCGGCGAAGGCGGCUUACUGGACUGUAACUGACGUUGAGGCUCGAAGGCGUGGGGAGCAAACAGGAUUAGAUACCCUGGUA